This is a long non-coding RNA of Amphimedon queenslandica, 960 nucleotides long. RefSeq lists it as uncharacterized. The transcript has 3 exons. The record is from RefSeq and is a predicted model, not a curated record. NCBI's taxonomy places the organism in Eukaryota, Metazoa, Porifera, Demospongiae, Haplosclerida, Niphatidae.
AUUCUUCCACUUUUGAUUGAUGUUGGGUCACAUCUUGUUACUAGGACAACUGGUCAUCACUUUAUUACUAAUUGUGGACACAGUGGUUUCACCAUUCAUAGUUUUACGCUGCUUUUUGGGUUUAUAAUUUCAGCAGUUACCUGCUCCUGUAUCGGUAAAGAUGCUGAUGAAGCUUGUUCCCGAGCCUCUGCUCAUGGUUUCUGGAAAAUUGUGAUCCACUGUAUUGUACCUUUUAUUGUUGAUCUUGAUAAAAUGAUCCCAUCAAAAUCAUCAUCAUCUUGUUUUGAUGCUUUUUCAUGUAUCAUGUUAGCUGUCCAGUUAGCUAUCUCCAUUUGUACUGUCUAUUGUUAUAGCAACAAACAGAAACCACAUAGAAACUUUUAAGCAAUAAGUGUAUAUUGCUGCUGCACAUUAAUUUUGCAUUAUACAGCUAUUUUAGGCUAUGUUUCUGUGCCAUUUGGUUUUGUGCAUCAAGUCACUAUUAUUGUGAAUAUUGUUAUUUAUUUUCAAAAUUGGGAGGGGCUGGUUGCUGCAGAAUGUGUGAACAGUUUGUAUUAGGUUGUAUAUGUCCAUUACUCCUUGAUAUAGGUCUCCAUUUUAUUACUAAAGUAACUGGUCAGUACUUUAUCACUAACUGUCAUUUUAGCAAUAAUUGGACUCAUUUUGUGAUGCUGUUGGAUGGUGUCAUCAUUUCAGUCCUUGCUAUAUGUUGUAUUACUUGCAUUUCAGGAAAAGGAUCAUACUGGAGGAUAAUUGUUAACAUAAUAGUCAAAGUCAUGUUCCACUUUGUCUUGCCAAAAUUGGAUGGAUUUGUGGAAGUAACAAGUGAUGGUCUUUUUUCAUGCAAUAAUAAGACUACCUUUUAUAUUCUUAUGGUUGUGUACAUGAUAUUAUUUCCAAUUUUUGUCAUGAUUAUUCAAGUAGGCUGUGAAAAUUGUUGUAAGCAGCCCAAAAAAUAAA